RNAcentral lists this long non-coding RNA (1035 nucleotides) under Anas platyrhynchos platyrhynchos (common mallard). RNAcentral's name for it is "lncRNA (ENSAPLG00000028050.1)". The record is from RNAcentral. Lineage: Eukaryota; Metazoa; Chordata; Aves; Anseriformes; Anatidae.
CCACGAGCCGGCGGAGGACAGCCACACGCUUCGCGGCAAGGCUGGAAGCCACACCGCUGUGGCCGGUCACCCAUGUCUUGCGAUCACUUUCGUCCAGCCGCCCAAGGCGGGACCCGGACCCCGGUGCGGCUAGCACACACGUCGCCCAGGAUAGGAGCGUAGCUGUUCGGGACGGACGGCUGCCGCUCCGGAGAGGACAGAACCCCGUGUCCCCGCGACUGCCAGCUCACGAGCCAGCGGAGGACAGCCACACGCUUCGCGGAAAAUCUGGCUCCCUUGCCGCUCGUGGCCGGACAACCGUGUCAUGGGAUCGUUGUCCCCAAUACACCCGAAACGGGAUUCUUACACUUGCGCGGCUAGCAUACACAUCUCCCAGGAUCGGAGUCUGGGCGUUCGGGAAAGACGGCGGCCUCUCCGCGAGGGACAGUUGCCGAGCGAACGGAACACAGCCUCCUGCUUCGCGGCAAGGCUGGCACCCAAACCGCUUGUGGCCGGUCACCCGUGUCUUGCGAUCACUUUCGUCGAGCCGCCCAAGGCGGGACCCGGACCCCGGCGCGGCUAGCACACACGUCGCCCAGGAUAGGAACGUGCGUGUUCGGGACAGACGGCUGCCGCUCCGGAGAGGACAGAACCCCAUUUCCCCGCGACUGCCAGCCCACGAGCCAGCGGAGGACAGCCACACACUUCGCGGUAAGGCUGGAAGCCACACUGCUGUGGCCGGUCACCCGUGUCUUGUGAUCACUUUCGUCGAGCCGCCCAAGGCGGGACCCGGACCCUGGCGCGGCUAGAACACACGUCGCCCAGGAUAGGAUUGUGGCUGUUCGGGACGGACGGCUGCCCCUCCGGAGAGGACAGAACCCCAUGUCCCCGCGACUGCCAACUCACGAGCCAGCAGAGGACAGCCACACGCUUCGCGGAAAGUCUGGCUCCCAUGCCGCUCGUGGCCGGACAACCGUGUCAUGGGAUCGUUGUCCCCAAUACACCCGAAACGGGAUCCUAACCCUUGCGCGGCUAGCAUACACAUCUCCCAGGACC